RNAcentral lists this ribosomal RNA (1020 nucleotides) under uncultured eukaryote. RNAcentral describes it as "SSU rRNA". It matches the Rfam family "Eukaryotic small subunit ribosomal RNA", at positions 627 to 1664 of the family's 1831-position model. The record is from RNAcentral.
CUCGUAGUUGGAUUUCUGUGGGGGCGGAGCGGCCGGCCGCAACUCGCGGUUCGAGCUAGCGCUUCCCCUACAUCCUGCCGCGAACCGUGCUACCAUUAGUUUGGUGGCGCCGGGGAUCGGCUCGUUUACUUUGAGAAAAAUAGAGUGUUCAAAGCAGGCCACACGCCUUGAAUAAGUUAGCAUGGAAUAAUAAUAAAGGACUUCGGUUCUAUUUUGUUGGUGUUCGGGACUGAAGUAAUGAUUGAUAGGGACAGUUGGGGCGGUCAGUAUUCCAAAGCGAGAGGUGAAAUUCUUAGACCUUCGGAAGACUAACAGCUGCGAAAGCGUUCCGCAAGGAUGUUCCCUUUGAUCAAGAACGAAAGUUGGGGGAUCGAAGACGAUCAGAUACCGUCGUAGUCUCAACUAUAAACUAUACCAGCUAGGGAUCGGCCAACGUUAAAUUAUCCGACUUGGUCGGCACCUUAUGAGAAAUCAAAGCAUCUGGGUUCCGGGGGGAGUAUGGUCGCAAGGCUGAAACUUAAAGGAAUUGACGGAAGGGCACCACCAGCCGUGGAGCCUGUGGCUUAAUUUGACUCAACACGGGAAAACUUACCAGGUCCAGACAUAGUAAGGAUUGACAGAUUGAUAGCUCUUUCUUGAUUCUGUGGGUGGUGGUGCAUGGCCGUUCUUAGUUGGUGGAGUGAUUUGUCUGGUUAAUUCCGUUAACGAACGAGACCCCAGCCUGCUAAAUAGCGCGGUUGAGCUUUGCUCGGCGCGAGCUUCUUAGAGGGACUAUGAUGCGCGAUAGCACAUGGAAGUUUGGGGCAAUAACAGGUCUGUGAUGCCCUUAGAUGUUCUGGGCCGCACACGGGCUACACUGGCGCCUGCAACGAGCAUAUCAGCUGGCCCGAGAGGGUCUUGGCUAAUCUUUUGAACCGGCGCCGUGCUUGGGAUUGACCAUUGCAAUUGUUGGUCAUGCAACGAGGAAUGCCUUGUAAACGCGAGUCAUCAACUCGCAUUGAUACGUCCCUGCCCUUUGUA